RNAcentral lists this ribosomal RNA (253 nucleotides) under uncultured bacterium. RNAcentral's name for it is "partial 16S ribosomal RNA". It matches the Rfam family "Bacterial small subunit ribosomal RNA", at positions 524 to 776 of the family's 1533-position model. The record is from RNAcentral.
UACGUAGGGUGCAGGCGUUAAUCGGAAUUACUGGGCGUAAGGCGUGCGCAGGCGGUUUGCUAAGACAGGUGUGAAAUCCCCGGGCUUAACCUGGGAACUGCGCUUGUUACUGGCAAGCUGGAGUGUGGCAGAGGGGGGUGGAAUUCCACGUGUAGCAGUGAAAUGCGUAGAGAUGUGGAGGAACACCGAUGGCGAAGGCAGCCCCCUGGGCUAACACUGACGCUCAUGCACGAAAGCGUGGGGAGCAAACAGG